AAUCUUGUAAAUGUGUGUCGUGAUAGGGAUAGAUUAUUGCAAUUAUUAAUCUUGAACGAGGAAUUCCUAGUAAAUGCGGGUCAUCAGCUCGCGUUGAUUACGUCCCUGCCCUUUGUACACACCGCCCGUCGCACCUACCGAUUGAAUGAUUCGGUGAAACUUUCGGACCGCGGUGGAGAUACCUCUGGUAACUCCGUCAUGGGAAGUUAUUUAAACCUCAUCAUUUAGAGGAAGGUGAAGUCGUAACAAGGUUUCCGUAGGUGAACCUGCGGAAGGAUCA
This 280-nucleotide ribosomal RNA is filed under the name Dinobryon sp. RNAcentral's name for it is "partial 18S ribosomal RNA". It matches the Rfam family "Eukaryotic small subunit ribosomal RNA", at positions 1548 to 1828 of the family's 1831-position model. Lineage: Eukaryota; Chrysophyceae; Chromulinales; Dinobryaceae. The record is from RNAcentral.